Molecule: long non-coding RNA, 653 nt
Filed under: Anser brachyrhynchus (Pink-footed goose)
Lineage: Eukaryota; Metazoa; Chordata; Aves; Anseriformes; Anatidae
Description: lncRNA (ENSABRG00000017325.1)
Source: RNAcentral
AUGCAGAUGGCCUUCUUCAAAAUCUGGCUUUCUUUCAAUGCAUGUCAGCACAGCUAUAUAUCUUUCUGAGCUACUGUGACAAGAACUGAGAAUAGAUGGAUGGCUGUUUUACUGCAGGUUUUGAUAGCAGUUUUGAGAGAUUAGGGCUGUUUUGGAAAGACAAGUUUCAGAGUCUGCUUUCUGAAGGUGCUUGAGAUUAGCAAGUAACUUUAGCAACUCUGAUAUCUCCUUCAGAGACGAUUGAAGGUUGAAGGAAAAUCAGUCAUGAAAGAGAAUUUAACUAAGUUUCUUAUCCCCUCAUGUUUGUUUAGGGAGGGCAUUUUCAGAGGACUGGCAGAGCCAACUUCAUAGGAUGCAUUUCAACAAUGAGAAAGGGCUGUGAUCAAAGGGAAUUAAUAUACUCUUAAACGUGAAACAUCUACACUGACAUAGCAUGUGGCCUCUUGCAUUGGCUGGAAAGAAAUGGAAUCAGCAGCCAACAAAGCAGGGAGAAGAGCUGAAGAUCUUACUGAAGAACUUACCAAAGAUCUUAAACUGAACAUUAAUGAUUUCUUAAUGGACAAAGACUGUUGAAGCUCUGGGACAGUGGUCACAAUAUUACCUACCCUGCUAGAAAAAUGAAGGUUUAUAAUGCUACCAGGGGGAAGAGCAGA